UACAAACAGAAAUAGUAGUACUAUAAUCAGCUUGGAGCAGAAAGAACACCUAAGAGAGGAGAAGAUUCUAUGGUAUGUCCAAAGCAUUCCAAUAUAAAACCAGCAUGAGAAGGGAUUAAACAAAUAAAUUUGUGAGGAAUCUGUUUUACUCCUUUAUUCACAAAUAGGAAGAAGACUAAAAAGGAGCUUGCUAUAGCUAUAUUCCAGUAUUACAGUACAAGACUCAAAUCACUGUAAGAAAUUAAAAGAUAAGCACAAACAAUCAAUCACACAACACAGAAAGAGCUAUACAAUUCAAGUAAUUAAAAAAAAAAAAUAAUACUUAACAGGAUUUUUUGAAAUCAUAUAUGUUUCACAAUUGCAGAUCGGUUACAGCAAUGAAGCUUUUUAUCAAUGAAUGAAGCUUACAGUACAAUAAUGAAAAAUAUACCAAAUUCACAUUCUUGGUCAUAUAAAGUUGCAAGUAAGAACCAUGCCAUUAGGCUUGAUUCCUAAAGCACAGAUUUAAUAAGUGACUUCACAUCUCAUAUAGCUCAAAAUCCUAAGCUCAAAUCAAUAUUCAAUUAAAGAAGUAAAAGCUGAAGUUCAGAUGCACAUGCUUUGGCCUUAACGCUGUUUGAGAGUUUUUGUUAAAUAGCAAAGGGAAGGAUAAUUUUCAAUCCAUGGAUACAAAAAAAGAAAUGAAAUGUCCAGUUAUUUCUCAUGUUUGGAAGUUUCAAUAGAUAGGAAAGGAUUUUCAGGGUAGAAUAGUCAUUUUAAAAAAUAUUUUUAAUGUUGAGAGGGAAUAACUCUUGUUCUUUCAAUUUGAUGGGAAAGCAAAGUGAGGGGAUAACUAGUCCCUACUCAUCUUUUACUUUUCAACUUCAUUGGACUUCCAAAUAAGGGAUAACUCAUAUCCCUUGACCUUUUCCUUUCCUAUCCCCUCCAUCGAAAGUGUGUUGGUGGGUUGUUAUAGUUACCGUAGAAUAGGUAGUCUGACUUUAUGUUCAUUUCAUGUGAUUCCAAUAUAUUUUUAAUAUUGGGCCUCGUCCAGCACUUCUGAGCUUGUGCCAAAUUCUCAGUUACUAUUAUGACCUUCAAAACCUUGUUUAAGCUUGUUAGUUGAUGGGAAAACUUGUAUCAGCUGUGUUGAUUAUGUUCAAUUCAGUGUGAGACCUUUUACUUGAGUUGGUGAGUUAUCUACCAGUGGUGCAUUCUUAUAGCUGUAUGGGAUGUUUAGAUUUCUGUGAGAGACUGGAGUUUUUCCACAGGUGGCUUUGGUUCUUUGGGAGUGAAAUCUGCCUCUUUCAGCAUCUCCCUAUUUUCAUUUUCAAAUUUUAUAAUUAUGUGAGUGUCUGAAUUGUAGUCUUGUGCUCUGUUUAGGUGUUGUUUAUGAUAUCUGCAACCUUUUAGGUUGUGCUUCCUCUGUAUGGUGUUAUAUGUUACUCUCUUAUUAUUUAUCUUCUUUUUAUGGAGUUAUGUUUAUUUUCUUUUUAUAUGUUAUAUACUGCACAGUUCCUGAGGUUGAGGCUGAAUCA
RNAcentral lists this unclassified non-coding RNA (1517 nucleotides) under Hevea brasiliensis (rubber tree). The record is from RNAcentral. Lineage: Eukaryota; Viridiplantae; Streptophyta; Magnoliopsida; Malpighiales; Euphorbiaceae.